UACAGAGGGGGCAAGCGUUGUUCGGAAUUACUGGGCGUAAAGGGCGCGUAGGCGGCCUUCUAAGUCGAACGUGAAAUCCCCGGGCUCAACCCGGGAACUGCGUCCGAGACUGGAAGGCUUGAAUCCGGGAGAGGGAUGUGGAAUUCCAGGUGUAGCGGUGAAAUGCGUAGAUAUCUGGAGGAACAUCGGUGACGAAGGCGGCAUCCUGGACCGGUAUUGACGCUGAGGCGCGAAAGCCAGGGGAGCAAACGGG
RNAcentral lists this ribosomal RNA (253 nucleotides) under uncultured bacterium. Its description in RNAcentral is "partial 16S ribosomal RNA". It matches the Rfam family "Bacterial small subunit ribosomal RNA", at positions 524 to 776 of the family's 1533-position model. The record is from RNAcentral.